RNAcentral lists this transfer RNA (75 nucleotides) under Deltaproteobacteria bacterium. RNAcentral's name for it is "tRNA-Glu". It matches the Rfam family "tRNA". Rfam says of the family: Transfer RNA (tRNA) molecules are approximately 80 nucleotides in length. Their secondary structure includes four short double-helical elements and three loops (D, anti-codon, and T loops). Further hydrogen bonds mediate the characteristic L-shaped molecular structure. tRNAs have two regions of fundamental functional importance: the anti-codon, which is responsible for specific mRNA codon recognition, and the 3' end, to which the tRNAs corresponding amino acid is attached (by aminoacyl-tRNA synthetases). tRNAs cope with the degeneracy of the genetic code in two manners: having more than one tRNA (with a specific anti-codon) for a particular amino acid; and 'wobble' base-pairing, i.e. permitting non-standard base-pairing at the 3rd anti-codon position. The record is from RNAcentral. Lineage: Bacteria; Pseudomonadati; Myxococcota; Myxococcia.
GUCCCCAUCGUCUAGGGGUUAGGACUCCGGCCCUUCAAGCCGGCAGCACGGGUUCGAAUCCCGUUGGGGACGCCG